GGUGUUUUAUUUUUUGUUUGAGGGUCUUUGUUUGGUUUUUUGUUUUGGGGGAGGUUGGUGGGAUUUUUGGGGUGUUUUUGUAGGGUUUUUUGAUGUUUUGUUUUUGGGCUGAUUGGUUUGUUUUUUGGGGUGGUUCUUUUGUUGUUUGCUUGUUUUUUAUUUUUUGGGGGAGAGAAGGUUGUUGUGUUUUGUUUGGUUGGUUGUUGUUAGAGUAAGGAUUAGAGUUUGUUGGUACCUGUGCUGUAAACCAGUAGUGGCAUUCAUAUCUAACAAUGUAGCAGUGCAGAUAUAGAUAUAUUUCUUUAUUUUUAGGGAAACUUUUACUGUGCUUGUUGAAAGCUAGGCUUUCCAUGUCUGUGAGCUUGAAGAAUUUAUCCUUGCAUCUUUAUUUUUUUUCCAAAAGAAUAUCUGCAUUCGUUUGCCUGUUUGUUUUAUGGGAUCGGUUUUGUUGUUGUACUUUUCUUUAUCUUUAGUAUUCUGUUUGUGGUGUGAAAGGACCCAUUUGGAGUUGUGGUAUGGUUUUGGGGUGGGACUGACAGGAGUGAUUUACCUGUUUCAUUUUUACUAGAAAAGUAGUUGAAUAUUUACCCCAUAUGUAAAAGAAAAUGGGGCCCAUUGUCACUGCAUUCAGAAGUUCCUGCCUGUGUUUUACCUAUGUUUGCUCUUCAACUUUUCUUUUAAUUUAAACAAUGUGGAAAUUAGCUUCUGUUUGUCCUUUUUUUUUUUCUAUAUGAACAUGAAUACAGAAAGAGCUAAGCAGUGAAAAUCAGUCAGAAAAAGUAAUAUGUGAGAAUUAAAAGGUGGUGAGAAGUUUUUUCCAGCUUGCAUUCUUGCUGUUGGGCUUCACAAUGCCCUGAAAAGAGGGGGCCGUUGCAGUCUCCCAACUCUUUUGGAGACCAGAGUCAAAUGUUAAGAGUUUUGUGUUAUUUUCUGUGGAUGGCUGUGUUUGUACUGAGUAGAGCAAUUCCCCCCAAAAAUCUGGCAGAAGCCCCAGUCCUGUCCCAUUUGCAGCCACCCCCUAAAUCAAUGCUUGCAAAUAGACAAAAGAGUAAAUAAAAUAAACUCUCUCUCUGAGAUAUUGCAGAGGAGAAAAAAAAAAUUGGACUUUGCUUGAUGCGGAGGAGCAUACUCAACACCCCGUCAGGGUCUGACCCUGCACUCACAGGGAUCAGCUUGGAAAAGCAAGAUGUGGUGGCUCAGUGUGGCAUUGAUGUGCUUUAAUGGGACACUUCCAGUCAAGGGCAUCUGGUUCUUUAGGGCUGUGUUUGUCAGAGGAAGGAUAUUGCAUUAAAGAUGAAAUAUGAACAGCUGAUGGCCUUCAGUAGUUAUAGCCUUGUAUAAAAUCUUCUCCAAAGAAGCAAAACAAAUAUUUGAAAGACUCAACUUUUAACAGGUUGAAUUUCUGGAUGCUUGGAGAACCUGGUGACUUCAAUGUAAUUUUUCUCAGGAGGAAACUGGGCCUGCUGCAUUAGCUGCCAGAUUUAGCCUAGUCUAAAACUACUUUCCACAGAGAGAUGAGGGAGAAAUUGGUGGUGGGAUGUGAUGGAAAUAUAAAAAUAGGAGUUGGGAGUAAGCAGGACAGGGUGAGGGGUUUGCAGGUUGCUGGCAAAGAGAGAAGCAGAAAGCCCAAAGAUGUGAUUGCUAAUGUUUGACUCUUCACUUCUCAGACAGAAGAUGUAGCUGGUGAAUUGUGCUGAUUUUUGUUUGGGGUGAGUUAAUUUUCUUCACAGUAACUAGUAUGGGACUCGGUUUUAGAUUUAGUUUUAGAUAUGCUGAACACAGUGUUGGCAAUCUAGAGAUGUUUUGGAUAUUACUGAGCAGCACCUGCACAGCACCAAGGCUUUCUCUGCUUCUUGUACUGCCACACUGCUGAGGGGUCUGGGGGUGCUUGACAAGUUGGGAGGAGACACAGCUGGGACAUCUGACCCCAAGUGACCAAAGCAAUAUUCUAAACCAUAUGAUAUUAUGCUCGCUAAAUAAAAUGGGGUGAUGGCAUUUGUCUUCCCAAGUCACCAAUAUGUGUGAUGGGGCCUUGAUCUCCUGAAGAUGGCUGAGCACCUGCCUGCCCAUGGAAGUGUUGAAUGAAUUCCUUGUUUUGUUUAUGUGUGUGGCUUUUGCUUUACCUUUUAAGCUGUCUUUAUCUCCACCCAUGAGUUUUUGCACUUUUUGUCUUCUGAUUCUCCCCCUGAUCCUCUGGUGGGGACUGAGUAGCUGCCUGGGAUUAAACCACAACAGGCUUUUUGUCAUGCUCAGUGUGCAGCUUGAAGGGUUAGAGACCAUGAGAGAUUUGAUUGAAAUGUGCUAGAUUGUUUUAAUAGCUGUUAUUGCCAUUUAGCUAUUAAUUGGCAGGCUCCUGUGCUUGCUGUGGGGCUCACUUGUCUGGCUGUGUACUAGAGCCUCAUUAGUGGCUCCUUUUUGCAAUUGCUGGUCAAGGUACUCUGCUGUGCCUGGGCACAUAUUGAUAAGAGCCCUGGUGAUGAUAACAGCCCUGCCUGGGUUGGCAGAUGGCCAGGGCAUCACUGAUGUGUCUGUGCUGCUGAGCUGGACAGGCUGGGACUCCAAGUGUGAGCUCCAGCCAAAGGAACUGUGAACUGGAUGAGCCCAUGCUGGAGCAGGUUAAUGCCUGGAGGAGGCUGUGAUCCUGUGGAGAACAUCACACUUGUGAAGAACUGCAGCCUGUGGGAAGAAUCCUUCCUGGGGGAAGGAUCUUUGUUGGAGAAGUUUGUGGGGAGCUGUUUCCCAUGAGUGGAACACCAUUCUGGAGGUGGGGAAGCAGAGAUGCCCCUGAAAUCUGUGGUGAAGAUGAUGGUGAGGAACAGUUCUGUGCAGCCACAGGGGACUAUGCAUGUUACAGGAAUCACUGUACCAGGAGCCAGGUGGACCAGUGGAGGAAAAGCAUUAAACAAGCAGUGAAAGAGCAGAGUGACCUGGCCUGAGGUGGAUUUGGUGCCCAGUAACUCAGCUCAACACACCAUUCCUCCUGUCCUGAGUGACCACUGUGACUGACAGAGCCCAAGGUUGAGGACUAAAUGAAAACAAAGAACCUUUUUGUGCAGACCUUGUUAAGAAAACUACUCUGACCAUUGAUAAGACUCUCUGGCUCACAUUCCCGCUUUUACUGCUGGGACUGAAGUCUCUUCACAGCAGAGGGCUCCAGUGAGAUGACGGGGGCUCUGCUUGGCUCCCCACACAUCCUGCUCAUGUGCAUUCAGACCAGGUUUCAUGCCCUUUGUGUGAAGAAUUGGAAGUUCAUGUCCUCUUGUCUUAGGGUCUGGUCAUUCAGAUACCUCAUCUGUUUAUUGCUUUAAAGGAUGGGAAGGGAAGUCAAGGUUAAUUGUGUUGAGUAUUUUAUCAGCUGACCAUGAUGCAAAUGAUAUGGAACAAGGGGUGGAAUGUGCUGUUAGCCUGGGGUAAAUUUUCUUCAUGGUAAAUAGUAUGGGACUAUUUGGAUUUGUGCUGGAAACAGGUUUUGUGAUAUGGAGGUGUUUUUGUUAUUGCUGAGCAGGGCUUGCACAGACCCAAGGCCUUUUCUGCUUCUCACAGUGCCUUGCUGGUGGGGGAGUGGGAAAACUGGGAGGUGACACAGCCAGGACAGUUGACCCUAACUAACCAAGGGGUUCCAGAACAUAUGGCAUCAUGCUCAGUGUAUAAAGUAGGGGGGAAUAAAGAAUGAUGGAGGGGGGAGGGAUAGUGAAUGGGAUAGUUUUUGUCUUCACAAGUGAAUUGUGUGCGAUGGAGCCCUGCUUUCCUGGGAACCACUGAACACCUACCUGCCCAUGGGGAGUGUAGAAUUAAUUCCUUGUUUUGCUUUGCUUGUGUGUGUGGCUCUUGCUUUCUGUAUUAAACUGUCUUUAUCUCAACCCAUGAACUUUCUCACUUCUGUUCUUCCAAUUCUCUCCCUGAUGCCACUGUUAGGGGAGUGAGCAAGUGAUUGUGUGAUGCUUACUUGCUCCCUCCCUCUCCUCUCCCUGAUAACAAGCACAAGAGCAAAUGGCCUCAACUUUCAUCAGGGUAGGUUUAGAUUGGAUAUAUGGAGAAAUUCCUUUACAAAAUGGGCAUUCGGACAUUGGAACACAUUGUCCAGAGAAGUGGUGAAGUCACCAUCAUUUGGAAGGGUUUGCAAAAUAUGUGGGUAUGGCAUGUGGCGACAGGGUUUAGUGGUGGCCCUGGCAGUAUUAGGUUAAUGGCUGCUGGGCUUGAUGAUCCUGGAGGUCUUUUCCUACCUAAAUGAUUCUUCAGUAUCAGGCUAAGAGUUUCAGAGCUAAAACAGCUCAAGGGCAGGCCUCAUGUCCACCUGGAGCUCCUUAGGCUGAUCAACUUAAAGAUGCUGAAAAAAAUAAUAAUGAUAAUCCCUGAAUUCAGUCAUAGAAUCGCAGAACCAUUAAUGCUGGAAAAGCCCUCUAAGAUCAUGGGAGUCCAACUGUUAACCUAGUGUGGUCAUUUUCCUGGCUGUCCUCACACUCUCCUCUUUUCAGAAGAAAAUAGUGCCACAUCUUUAUGCUCUGUGGGCACUUGUGCAAAUGAAAUAACAUGGAUAUGCAGCUGAGUAGACUACAAACCCUGGAUUUAAAACUUAAGGAUGAAGGGACCAAUGAGGAGCACCAGAGAAAGAUUUCUAUAUCAUCUUUGUCCUGCAGUGUCCUUACAGGAAACUCUACAAGAAAAGGAGCAGGAGAAGAGCACAGUUUAAUUUGCCUCAGAUUGGUCGAGUUUCUUCAGAAAUUCUGAGUCACUAAACCACUUGUGACCACAAUUUGCCCAAGAUCUGACCUAUGUGAGCAUCAAGAGGCCUAGAGCAGUCCCAAGGAAAUCCCCAGGACUUUUUCUGCACUGGAAAACAUUGUGGUCAUUAUUGCUGAGGUCUUUGUACUUUAAGCACUUCCCAGAAGCUGAAACGGUGGAGUCUGAAUACAAACUAAUAGGCAUUGAAAUUAAUAAGGAGAUUCAAAUUAAAGAAUAAAAAGGAAAUGGUUCAUGACUCAUGUAAAAUAUUAAGUAAAUGUAGUGGAAGGAAGUUUGCCUUUAAUUAGUGUUAAAAUGGAGCAGGGAGGGCAUGAUGGACUGCAGGGAAAAAAACAGGGUUCAUGGUAUUAAAUGCAGAAAACUAUCACUUUGAAUUUCCCUGCAGUCCUUGUGGGGAUUUUCUUGUUAGCUGUGCCUCAAAGAUGCUUCUCAAGGCUUGUUUCUAACUACAGGUUGCAGGUGUUUGAAACCAAUCAAUCAACCAGCUUACUCUGACUCUGUCAGAGGUGGUUUUAGUUCUAAUGCUCCCUUAGAGAGGUGGAAGGGGUAAAAAGAUUUGUCUUGAAGUCAUGCUUUUGGCACAAAAAGGAAUAAAUUUUGACUUUGCACUUUGCAAAGGCUCAGAGUGUGACCAUCCCCUUUUAGGAGGCUUUAUCUGGUGUAGAGAAAGGGGAUGCUUGGAUAUCUUUUCUUCCUCCAAAAAGCACAGAAAGUGUUUCUGGAAAGCCAAGCUCUGCCUUUCUGACCCUGCUAAUCAGGAAACUCCAUGUAAAUGCUUUUCCCUUCUUAGUGAAGCUGUGUUCCUCUGCUCUCUGAACUGCCUAAUCACCAAAUAUUUGUGCUGGCCACAGGUGGGAAAAGCACAGUAAUGGGUCAUAAUUCAGCUCAGCAUAACCUUCUUUCCCCUGUAAAUUAAGAUGCAGCUGUCUUCUGAUUAGACAUAAAGUGGCCUAAUUUUGGAGGGAUUGAGAGGUGAGCCAUUUCAGGGAGAGGAAAAUUAAUUUUAUUUUAAUGAUGUGAGCUGUUAUGUCUAUCAGAGCACUGAAUGCUUUCUUUACACUUGGACACAGUCGUUGACAGAGGCACUGCCAGCCUGUAAAAUUCUUUUCCCCCCAUUAAAUUAGAUAAGCUCACUUUAGGGUUAUAUUUUUGAGUCUGAUUGAACAAAUGUAGCAAUUUAUCCAGGCGUUACAGGAUUUCCCCGUGGAUGCUUGAUGAGAGCUGCUCCAUGAGGAUGAUACACUUAAUUAAAAAGCAGAAGCUGAAGACUGAUACAGAUGUAUCCUGACACAGCAGCUGGGUUUCUUUGCUUAUUGGAAGUGAAGUGGGGGGGAUGAGGAGGAAUCAGGGCUCUCAUUAGAGGGAGGAAUAAACCCAGAUCCCAGAGUGUGUAAUACAAUGAAGUUUUAACAUCAUCCCUGCUGUGAUCCACACUGGGUCUUUGGCAUAGUGGGUUGACCUUGUUUAUUCCUUAGCAUGUUGUUGUGGGGUUAUGGGGGGUCCCAGCCCUGCUGGUUUGUUUAUUCCCUCUCAGUGGGGCUGGGAAACCAUCAGUGAAAGGAAUUUCUGGGUGACCUUGAAGAAAAAUCAAUAUGGGGCGUCCAAGCCUUUUUUGCUUGGGAAAUAAAAGAGCAAUGUAUUGGUGAUUGCCCUUUUUUCAUCCCACGUGCCCCCAAAUCUCUCAUCUUUGGGCAGAAAACCCCCUUGAUACCAUGGUCUCUCCCUUUAUUUCAAAAGGAAUUAAAACAAAUGACAGUAUUUUUCUUUCCCAGUAGAGGGAAGUGUUGGCUAAACUGAAUUUUAUGCGCUACAGCCUCAUGGCACCUCGUGCUAAAGGAGCUUCUCACAGCACUUAUCCCAGGUAGUAAAAGGGUUUAUAAAAGUCGAGGUCUGUGGAAAGCAAAAGCACUUCACUGAGUGCUAGCAAGGUGGGAGGGCAUGGAAAAACUUUUCAAAUUGUGAAGGAAAAUACUUUUUUCCCCAAAUUGAAUUUUGCAAGAAAAAGGGACUUUUAACCUUUUUUUUUUUUGCUUAAGAAAAAAAAAAAAAAGAAUGUUUUAAACUUUUUCCCAAGCUCAGGCUUUCAUGAACUGCAUAUUUUUCAGACUCUUUCCUUUAAAAGGCAGUGACAAAUGUCACUGAGUGAAAAUAAAGGCUCUACGAGCAUCUUUGGGAGAACAAAUGGAUUUUUGCAACCAGCAGUGCUGUCUAUAAACUCUUUAAGAAUGCAGUACUCACUUUGGGGGGAAAAAGGUAUAUUUUUUUUUGGAGAGAAGUGAAGAGAAAGGGGACACCAACUGAUCUCCCACAGUAUUUUUUUGCUGCUGGUACUUGCUCCCACCUGGCAUGCACAUUUAUUAGGUUUCAGCUGACUUGCCUGAACUUUUUCAGGCAUUCAGUGAGCCAGCAUUACUUGACUGCUUCUUGCAGAGAGGAAGAUAUUGGCAAGGCAGCAUGGUUUUAAUAAACUUUCUGUCUCUGCUCAGCCUGUCUAUGGGGGUCCAAUUAGCAUGGCUACUUCAUGAUUAGUGUUUGCAGCAGGAGGUCUCCUGUGCCAAGGGUGUUCCCCACUUGCUGUGGGACUUGGAGAUGCUGCUGUCAUUGUGGGCUCCUGGGUUACAUUUCUGUGUCUUCUGAAGGGAGCAAUUUAAAAAAAAGGAACCCAAAGAGACAUAAAUGCUUGAAAAGUUGGGGAAAGGAUUGUUUUUUUGGGGGGUAGAAAACAAGGGAACCGUAGCAGUCCUGCUCCUGCCAUGGAAGAAAUUUUAAAGAACCAGUGGAUGGGACAUUAGGUGGAAUUUUGUGGCUUUUCCCUCCUUUCCCUGGCGGUGUUGCUAGAUCUGUGACACUGAGAUGCUGCUUGCUCUUCACCUUGAGACCUCUGCUAUUGCAGCUCUGAAGGAAGAAGGGAGGACAGAGGAUUGAGUGAAGUCUGAAUAUCCCCCACCAGGGAUGCUGGUUCUGUUGCCCAAGAACUGGAAAUGUUUCUGGGUGCAGAGAGCACUGAUGGGGUGGGACCAUACUGUGACCAUCCCAGUGUGGAGGAUUUCCAGCAGAGCUCUGCAGCUGGGAUGAGCGGUGGGACCCCAGCACUCAUCCUUGCACAGCUUUCUCACUCUGGUAGGUGUCCUGCGGAGAUGUGUUGGCACAGUAGCUGAGAUGCCAAGAACUCAGCAUUUGCCUUCAUGGGGUUGAAGAUGUGCCCACCCCGUAAUCUCUUUGGGUCCUCGUGAGAACCUGCUUCCCUUUGAGCAGCCACUCUUCAGCCUCAUGUUGAGAGGUUAACAUUUGAGGAUUUGUCUUCCUUUGUCUUCUGUCUCUCACAUCUUUCUGUGCUGCUCUAAGCUUUCACGGGCUCUGUUCCCCAGGUCCAUCUUUUUCUGCCUUUUUUGGUCUUCAUUCCCCUCUGUCUCCAAUUGUUUGUAGUCUUUUUCCAGUCUUUGACCUCCACUCCCUCUUCUCAGCUCCUUCUCUCUUCUUCCUCACCCAGGUCUUCCCUAUGAUCCACUCCAUCAUUUCCUGCAUUUCCAGAAUUUUUGCAUAUUUUGAAUCCUUCAGUCAACAGUUCCCUUGAGCAUGAGCUUGUCCUUGAGUGGACACCUGCUCUUCCUCAGUUGUCCACUCUUCUUGAGUGAACAAUUGCCUUCCCAGAGCCACUGCAGCCCCUCAGUUUUUUCCCUCAAUGAUCUGCUCUUUUCCCACCCUGAGCUGCUGUCACCUGAGUAUGUCUUACAGCUGCACACUCUCCAGGGUGGCAGCAGACACUUCCCAAAACAUCGCUGAGGCUGUAAAGCAAUGCCAGCCUCCUGCUUGUCCUAUUUUACCUCAGUAAUUUGAGGGGUUUUUCAGAAGUUUCUUUCACUUUUACUGCCAUGAAUACUUCACGUGGCUGGAAAAUCCUUGUACUCUCUUCAUCUAUGUCUAUCCAUUCAUGAUCUUCCCUGUCACUGCUGGGCAGCUUAUUUUGGGUGAAAGCUGCUGUUCUCACUCACCAGAAUUGCAGUGCUGUAGCCAUGAUCCUGGGCACUGUUCCUUGAGGCUGGGGGCUCUGGGUCACUCCCAGCUGAUGUGCACAUUUAUUAGGUUUUGGGAGGAUCGGGGUUUGGUUGGGGGUGAUCAGAAAGUCCAGCUUUGGCACUGUUCACACCUCCCUGUGUGUGCUGAAGUGCCCCUUGCUGUGUUCUGCUGCCAGUGGCUCUCCUCCAUCCCCUCAGCCCUGAUUAAACCUUCUCUUUCUCCAAGGUCCUCAUGGCACUGUAGCUUCCACUGCAGCUUCCCCCUCUCCUUCCCCAUCCCACCUUUCUUCUCCCCAGUUGUGUUCAUCCCACCUCGCUCCCUACACCAUGGCACCACAUGUGACACUUGGGGACAAGGCUUCGUGGCGGUCUUGGCCAUGCUGGUUUAAGAGUUGAACUUGAUGCUCUUGGAGGUAUUUUCCAAACUAAACGAGUCUAUGUUAACAUUGCUCCCUCACCGCCCUUCCCGCUGCCAAACUGAGCAAGCCUAUGCCUCUAGCAGUCCAUCAUCCCGCUUCACGGUGCCAUUUCUCAUCCCCUUCUCAUCCUUCCUUCCUCCCCGCCAUUCCUCUGCCAUCAUUCCUCCUUCCUCGCCGCUAACCCCUGCCUGUCCCCCAGCCUUGCUCCGCUUCCCGGCCUGCUCCCGCUGC
Passer domesticus (house sparrow) is the source of this 9409-nucleotide long non-coding RNA. RefSeq lists it as uncharacterized. The transcript is spliced from 4 exons. The record is from RefSeq and is a predicted model, not a curated record. NCBI's taxonomy places the organism in Eukaryota, Metazoa, Chordata, Aves, Passeriformes, Passeridae.